GGCCAACUGACUGAGUGUUUAACAUGUGGGUCACAAUAUUGAUUCUCAAGCCUAACUUCAGCUACUGCCUGUUCAUCUUCAACCAUUACAAUUUGUGUCUCUCCAAGUGGUACAUCAUCAUUGCAGGAAUCAAGUGGCUCAACCUCCAAACUCUCAGUCGUCCACAUAUCACUUACCAUGCCCUGUUCAACAAUAUGGGAAGGUUCAGUUUCCACGUCU
Molecule: unclassified non-coding RNA, 219 nt
Filed under: Hevea brasiliensis (rubber tree)
Lineage: Eukaryota; Viridiplantae; Streptophyta; Magnoliopsida; Malpighiales; Euphorbiaceae
Source: RNAcentral